GAUGAACGCUGGCGGCGUGCCUAAUACAUGCAAGUCGAGCGAACAGACGAGGAGCUUGCUCCUCUGACGUUAGCGGCGGACGGGUGAGUAACACGUGGAUAACCUACCUAUAAGACUGGGAUAACUUCGGGAAACCGGAGCUAAUACCGGAUAAUAUAUUGAACCGCAUGGUUCAAUAGUGAAAGACGGUUUUGCUGUCACUUAUAGAUGGAUCCGCGCCGCAUUAGCUAGUUGGUAAGGUAACGGCUUACCAAGGCAACGAUGCGUAGCCGACCUGAGAGGGUGAUCGGCCACACCGGAACUGGGACGCGGUCCAGACUCCUACGGGAGGCACCAGUAUGGAAUCUUCCGCAAUGGGCGAAAGCUUGACGGAGCAACGCUGCGCGAGUGAUGAAGGUCUUCGGAUCGUAAAACUCGGUUAUUAGUGAAGAACAAAUGUGUAAGUAACUAUGCACGUCUUGACGGUACCUAAUCAGAAAGCCACGGCUAACUACGUG
RNAcentral lists this ribosomal RNA (497 nucleotides) under uncultured bacterium. Its description in RNAcentral is "partial 16S ribosomal RNA". It matches the Rfam family "Bacterial small subunit ribosomal RNA", at positions 28 to 507 of the family's 1533-position model. The record is from RNAcentral.